This is a long non-coding RNA of Mugil cephalus (flathead mullet), 1997 nucleotides long. RefSeq lists it as uncharacterized. The transcript is spliced from 2 exons. NCBI's taxonomy places the organism in Eukaryota, Metazoa, Chordata, Actinopteri, Mugiliformes, Mugilidae. The record is from RefSeq and is a predicted model, not a curated record.
CAUAUAGACACUUUAAAAGUGUUAAGAGCAACUCUUACAGUGUUAAUUUGGGUAUGCUCAUUUUACUGUGUGGCAACAAGGGCUUUCCAACGGGAACUGGCCUACCGGUCAGGAGUGUGUCAGUCAACCCUGACCCGAGCCAUGCCAGCUGUGUGGGACAGAAUCAUCUUCCAGGUACAUCAAAUUCCCACACAAUGCUGUUGAGAAUGGCCAAUAUUAAAGCGCAGUUUACAGCAAGAGCCAGUUUCCCUAAUGUAAUCGGAGCUAUUGACUGCACACACAUGCCAACAAAGCGCCAUCACAGGAUGAAUUUGUUUUUGUCAACAGAAAACAUUUUCAUUCGAUAAAUGUUCAAAUAAUAUGUGAUGUGCAAAUGCAGCUCACUAGCAUCGUAGCAAGGUGGCGUGGUUCAACGCAUAACUCGACCAUUCUGACCAACAGCAUGGUUGGGAACAGGAUGGAGCCUGGUAUGGUGCGUGAUGGGUGGCUUCUCGGUGAGUAAAUAAUUUAUCUGUUAAUAAAGUUUGUCCUAAGUGUUCGUUUCCCACUGAAACAAUUGGAAAAAAAAAAGUUAUUCAUUCAAAUGGUGUAUUAACAAUUAAACUUAAUCUAUUUCACAUGUUUUCUGCCUUCAUUUGACCCCGUGGCUACGCCCCUGAGAACGUGGCUGUUGAACCCUCUCACCAACUCCGGCACCGACCAAGAGAGGAGGAACAAUGACCUCAAGUCCCGAACUCGGGCAGUGGUGGAGAGGGCAAUCGGCCGUUGAAGGGACGCCGGCGCUGCUUGGACAGGUCGGGGGGAGUGCUGCUCUACAACCAGAGAAGGAGGCUGGAACAAUAACCCUUCAGCAGACCAGUUCCAAGCCAUUUUCCACCGCCUGAUGGUGUGGUGUGGGGUGCCUCCAAGUGCAUCAGGAAAUGUGGCAGUACAGGAUGCGACUGUGUUUCUGUCAGCUUUAGAAAAGCCAUCUUCCUCCACAGCAGAAGAAACCGAAGAGCUGCCACCCCCUUUUGCAAACGCUUCUGCAAUUGUGCGUGACCACAGUUACCUGCCAACUCGCUUUGGUGGCCUUGUUGACAAUACCCUUGUCUACAGCUCAGGGUUUGUGAUUCGGCAAAUUUUAAAGAUGUUGUGUGUCGUGGUAGCUUGGUCACUGAUGCUGUGCUUGCAUCACUUGAUCAGAGCUACCACUUACCCCAACUAAAAAACAAGGGGGGACUAAUGGUUCCAUCUGAGGGGACUUUGAGGGUAAUCAGAUCAGCUGAGCGUUUCAUUCGCCAGUCUGUGCCCGGGCAAGCUGUCAACUUGUCCUAUAUCAAUCAGUUUGUACGGGUUGAUGUUGGAGCUGAGGAUGUGUUUGGUCUAGGUGAGAACAUUCAGGAAACACAGUGUGGAAUUGAUAACCAUCACUAUGUGCUGAUGUCACUUGUUUCCGAACUAAAAACAAUACAAGAGAGAGAGUGGCAACAAUAGGAAAAAAAUGUGCAAACCAUUCUUUUUAAAGUAUUUUAGUGGUCUUACUUAAAUAGAAAAAUGUCUAUAGUGUACAUAACCUGUGUGUAUGUGUGGUGUUUAAAAUAAUUUUUGUUGCCUCCAAAUGGCCAAAAAAUGAAUGAAAAUAAUAUGUUUUUUUCUUGUGUGUGGAGGGGUGUUUUUCUCUCAGGAGUGACAAUAUGCAAUGCAUGAUCAUUUAACAGGUUUACAAGUACAUCAAGUAUCAAGAAGUCAUUCCUGUUGUGUAGAUUCCCUCAGCAUUUAUUUUAGUGACUUUUUAGUCUGUAUUUACCCUUGACGCUUCUUAUGCUAAUGGGUAGGGAAUUCCACUGACUGAUGGCUCUGUAAAUAACUGCCUUGUUCAGUUGAUUUUUUUUUUGGACUGUGGGAGGUUAAAAUAGCCUUUUCUGACCAGUCUAGUCAUACGACUGUGCCUUGAGCCUGUCUGAACCAGCUGUUCUGGAAAAAAAAAAAAAAAAAAAAAUCGUGUUUGAUGUCAA